Molecule: long non-coding RNA, 387 nt
Organism: Zea mays
Lineage: Eukaryota; Viridiplantae; Streptophyta; Magnoliopsida; Poales; Poaceae
Exons: 4
Source: RefSeq, a predicted model, not a curated record
CGCCUGCGUCUGCCGCUGCUGGAGGGCCGCCGUCAAGAUUGUGCGCGUGCCGGAGGCUUCUGGGAAACUCACCUUCCCCAUCUCUCAAGCAGCCUGGCCCAAGGGAUGCCCCUCUCAAAUGUUUCAUCAGGAGGGACCGGGCUGCUCAGUCGUAUUCUCUGUGCCUUGGAGUCACUGAUGCUGAUGAUGGGAAAUUUCUACUUGCUGCACGCAAAUGUCGUAGGCCCGCAUGCACUGAAUACCUAAUCUCGCUUGAUGCGAAGAACACAUCGGCUGGUUCCUACAUUGGCAAGCUAAGAGCUGCGGUUUCAAAGGGGUACAUGAUCGGCUCAGCCCAAGUUUCUCCUGGGGUACCUGCUAGGAAUUAUAUGGUUUCUCACAUUUCUU